UUGAGAGUUUGAUCCUGGCUCAGAACGAACGCUAUCGGUAUGCUUAACACAUGCAAGUCGAACGGAUGUUUUCGGACAUUAGUGGCGGACGGGUGAGUAACGCGUGAGAAUCUAGCUUCAGGUUGGGGACAACAGUUGGAAACGACUGCUAAUACCGAAUGUGCCGAAAGGUGAAAGAUUUAUUGCCUGAAGAAGAGCUCGCGUCUGAUUAGCUAGUUGGUGGGGUAAGAGCUUACCAAGGCAACGAUCGGUAGCUGGUCUGAGAGGACGAUCAGCCACACUGGGACUGAGACACGGCCCAGACUCCUAC
RNAcentral lists this ribosomal RNA (310 nucleotides) under Ochromonas sp. CCMP1393. Its description in RNAcentral is "partial Bacterial small subunit ribosomal RNA". It matches the Rfam family "Bacterial small subunit ribosomal RNA", at positions 1 to 342 of the family's 1533-position model. Lineage: Eukaryota; Chrysophyceae; Chromulinales; Chromulinaceae. The record is from RNAcentral.